This 465-nucleotide ribosomal RNA is filed under the name uncultured bacterium. RNAcentral's name for it is "partial 16S ribosomal RNA". It matches the Rfam family "Bacterial small subunit ribosomal RNA", at positions 28 to 507 of the family's 1533-position model. The record is from RNAcentral.
GACGAACGCUGGCGGCGUGCCUAACACAUGCAAGUCGAACGGAGUCGGCCCCGCAAGGGACUGACUUAGUGGCGAACGGGUGAGUAACGCGUGAGCAACCUGCCUUUCAGUGGGGGACAACAGUUGGAAACGACUGCUAAUACCGCAUAAUGCAUUUUGACCGCAUGAUCGAGAUGCCAAAGAUUUAUUGCUGAAAGAUGGGCUCGCGUCUGAUUAGAUAGUUGGUGAGGUAACGGCCCACCAAGUCGACGAUCAGUAGCCGGACUGAGAGGUUGAACGGCCACAUUGGGACUGAGAUACGGCCCAGACUCCUACGGGAGGCAGCAGUGGGGAAUAUUGGGCAAUGGGGGAAACCCUGACCCAGCAACGCCGCGUGAAGGAAGAAGGCUUUCGGGGUGUAAACUUCUUUUACCAGGGACGAAGAAAGUGACGGUACCUGGAGAAAAAGCCACGGCUAACUACGUG